AUCCAGAUGACGAGGCCCAAAUAGGACGAAAUGCGUAUCCUGAAU
This 45-nucleotide non-coding RNA is filed under the name Trichobilharzia regenti. Lineage: Eukaryota; Metazoa; Platyhelminthes; Trematoda; Strigeidida; Schistosomatidae. The record is from RNAcentral.